Molecule: ribosomal RNA, 254 nt
Filed under: uncultured bacterium
Lineage: Bacteria
Description: partial 16S ribosomal RNA
Rfam family: Bacterial small subunit ribosomal RNA
Source: RNAcentral
UACGGGGGGAGCAAGCGUUGUUCGGAUUUACUGGGCGUAAAGGGCGCGUAGGCGGCCACCGCAAGUCGAUUGUGAAAUCUCCGGGCUUAACCCGGAAAGGUCAACCGAUACUGCGGGGCUAGAGUGCAGAAGGGGCAACUGGAAUUCUCGGUGUAGCGGUGAAAUGCGUAGAUAUCGAGAGGAACACCUGCGGCGAAGGCGGGUUACUGGGCUGACACUGACGCUGAGGCGCGAAAGCUAGGGGAGCGAACGGG